Molecule: non-coding RNA, 1673 nt
Organism: Meleagris gallopavo (turkey)
Lineage: Eukaryota; Metazoa; Chordata; Aves; Galliformes; Phasianidae
Source: RefSeq, a predicted model, not a curated record
GGCGCAUGGGCGGGAAGGUGAGCAACAGGUAUUUACCUCAGAGCAUGAGAAGAAGCUGAGUGCUGCGAGGGAAGGAUAGCAGGCAGAAUCCAAGCAGCAUCAGGACCGAGGAUCUGCUGCCGAAGAUAGAAGAAGCGGAGUGGAGAACCGCGAGGCAGGAGCGAGGAUGAAGAGGAAGCAGAAGCCUGCAGAUGCGGGGGGGAAAGAGAGAGGCACCCUGGGCAAAGCACCUCCCUGCUAGCAGGGGCAUAGUCAAAUUGGCAUUGAGCGUUGCCGGCCCCUUGGGUGACCAGGCCGGCUUUGUGCUGGGCGACCUCCCUGUAAGCAGGGCUCGGGUCUUUGCUGUAGUUGGCCUUUUGCCUUGCUGCUCCUUUGGCUGCCUGGGGAGCGUGGCCCCCUGUACGGAGGGCGAGAGCCACCUCUCCGCACCCGAGUGGGAAAUGGAGCUCGCUGGACCCCAGGGCCACCCUGUAAGCAGGGUAGUGCCUUUCCCUGCCCCUCCUCCUCCGGCCCCUCAGUGCUGUUGCCUGCUGGUGGCCUGUCAAUAUGCCAGUCCUGUACUUGUAUGCCUGCCAAAUGGUGUGGAGCCCUCUGUUCCCCGAGCAGCCCGUCCCCCCUACCCCGCCUGUAAUCAGGGCUGGGGAUGCUGCAGCGGUGCAGCCGGCUGCUUUAGCCAUCCAGCUGGUGGGAAUGACCCCUCCCUGUCCCGUCAGAGGGUGCAGGUUGAGGUGCUGCUUGUGUGUGGGCUGACCUCCCCGCUCGGUGGGUUGAGGUUGCUCCCUGGGCUCCCAAAGACGUGCUGAUGUUGUGCUGCCGGGCGGGCCAGCCUGUAGCUCAGGCGUUGGCGGGAGCUGCGUGCUCCGUGGGGCUUCUUGGAGAUGGUGAGGCGUGGGGCGCCGUCCUGUAGGCAGGGCUGUGCGUGCCCCCUGUGCUUGGUGAGCUGAGUUCUGAGAGACCCCCUGUACUCAGGCGGGAAUGUGGCCCCGGCCUUUCAGAGGCACGGGGCCGCGAGAUGUGGGGCUGGGCUUGCACCCUCCCUGGAUUUGGGGCUGGCAUCCUGACCGCGGCCUUUGGCCGUGUUGCCCCGCUGCCUGGCGGCUCAGAGUUGUUCCUGCUGCUGGGGGGGAAACCGAGCUCUGUGGCUCCAGGGGUGUUGUCGGCCCGCCUGUAAUCAGGGUCUGGGCGUGCGAGCCUCUAUGCUCUGCUGGCAGCCCGUGUGGGGUGACCGCCCUGUUAGCGGGGUGCGGGCAAAGGUGCCCCCGACUGGGAGAGAAGGAGCCUCCCGCGGCCUUAGGGCUGGGGGCUGCCCUGUAACUCAGGGAGUGGCUGUGCCCCGCAGACCCAGGUCCUUUGCCAUGGAGACAGUGGCUGGGGGUCCCCUGUAAGCAGGGAAGCAGACUCCUUUGCCGCUGCUUUUAGUGUGCCCAGCUCCAUUUGCCCAGUCUGCCCGCCUCCGCGAUCCCCUGCAGCGCCGGCUGGAGCCUCCGCAGUGCGCCACUGAGGAUCUGCUGCCGAAGAUAGAAGAAGCGGAGUGGAGAACCGCGAGGCAGGAGCGAGGAUGAAGAGGAAGCAGAAGCCUGCAGAUGCGGGGGGGAAAGAGAGAGGCACCCUGGGCAAAGCACCUCCCUGCUAGCAGGGGCAUAGUCAAAUUGGCAUUGAGCGUUGCCGGCCCC